GGAGGGGGGCGGGGGAGGGGAGGUGGCGGGGCUGCGCGUCGUGCUCGCCAAGCGAGAAUAAUAGAGGUGUCCUUUCUUUGGAACGCUGCCCCGGGUCGCCGAGGCGGGCUGCCCUGGGUGCGCGGCCGCGGACAAACAAAGGGCCCCGGCGCGGCAGCUCCUUGUCCCGGGCUGCGCGGAGUGGUAACCAUGGCAACGGCCUUUGCUCUUUCUCAAGCCCUUUGAUUUGUCUUCAACAUGAUUUUGACUGAAGUCUGCAUGGAAGAUUUUAUUCAUUCAUUCAUGAGAGACACAGAGAGAGGGUCCGAGACACAGGCAGAGGGAGAAGCAGGCUCCACGCAGGGAGCCCGACGCGGGACUCAAUUCUGGGAUUCCAGGAUCACGCCCUGAGCCGAAGGCAGGCGCUAAACCGCUGAACCACCCAGGCGCAUCCGGAUGACCACAUUUCCACUUCAAAAUAGCAUAGUUUGGUGAUAAGGAGACAGUGAAUGAGACCACAUAUUUAAAAUGUGGUGUGUACAUGAAGCACCGCACUUUUGAUAUUUUAUUUCUGUACUUAAUAAAGAAUGGAAAAGAAAAUUGA
Canis lupus familiaris (dog) is the source of this 583-nucleotide long non-coding RNA. RefSeq lists it as uncharacterized. The transcript has 3 exons. The record is from RefSeq and is a predicted model, not a curated record. NCBI's taxonomy places the organism in Eukaryota, Metazoa, Chordata, Mammalia, Carnivora, Canidae.